Molecule: transfer RNA, 64 nt
Filed under: Eriocheir sinensis (Chinese mitten crab)
Lineage: Eukaryota; Metazoa; Arthropoda; Malacostraca; Decapoda; Varunidae
Description: tRNA-Phe
Source: RNAcentral
AAGCUAGAUUAAUAUAAGUAGCUUAUAUAAUUUAUAUAGAAUAUUGCAUUGAAGCUGCAAAAGA